Molecule: ribosomal RNA, 253 nt
Filed under: uncultured bacterium
Lineage: Bacteria
Description: partial 16S ribosomal RNA
Rfam family: Bacterial small subunit ribosomal RNA
Source: RNAcentral
UACGGAGGGUGCAAGCGUUAAUCGGAAUUACUGGGCGUGAAGCGCACGCAGGUGGCUGAGUCAGUCGAUUGUGAAAGCCCUGGGCUUAACCUGGGAAUUGCAGUCGAUACUACUCAGCUAGAGUAUGGGAGAGGGCAGUGGAAUUCCCGGUGUAGCGGUGAAAUGCGUAGAUAUCAGGAGGAACACCGGUGGCGAAGGCGGCCCUCUGGACGGUGACUGACGCUGAGACGCGAAAGCGUGGGGAGCAAACAGG